GUGUUUCCUAGAGUCUCGGCGUUUCUACCUCUUCGCACCCUUUCCUGCCACCCUUUGUCCCCUGGAAGCCCGGAGACAUCAGCGGCUGCAAUUUUGCUACUCGCUGCUCGGCGUGGAACUGUCAGGUACCGCAGUUCAGCACUUUUGGCAGGACAAAAAAUAAUAUCCAAAGAUAUUUUGGCACUAACGGCGCUAUCUGUAGCAAGAAAGUUGAGCAGUGUGAACUGUUGAGACUUCCAAGGAGACUUCAGACAACCAAGACAGUGUAAAGGAAAACAGAGAAAAAGACUUGUUAGACAUUAUUAAGGGCACGAAAGUUGAAUUGAGCACAGUAAAUGUACAAACAACAAAGCCACCCAACAGAAGUUCACUUAAAAGCUACAACUGGCGGGCCUCAAAGAGCUUUAGGACAUGCUCCAAAGAAGAGGAUGAGCCCCUGAGUCCUGAGUUGGUGGCAGCUGCAUCUGCUGCUCUGUUUUGACAAGCAAACAAGCCAGAACUGCUCAGGCAGCUCCGUAGCAUGAGGAAGAGUCAGGGGCACAGAGAGAUGGAGAGAGACCUAGUAGUUUCAAUAACAAAAUAUCAGAUAUGAAAAUUGCCAGAUGUGCUACAGCUAGAAUUAAUAUAAGGCCAGAGCAUCAGAUUCAGUUUGACCAAGGCUAUGACAAUUAUCCUGGCCUGGAGAAGACUGCUGAUCUUAGAAAGGAAAAAUAUAUUCAGGGGGAAGAGAUGUAAUAGAUUUCACAUUAUGGCAGUUACUAAAGAAGCACGUGACAGACACAUCACCUUCACUUUGGGAUAUGGAAUUUGAUAAGCAGUUAGCCACAGAAUAUGAACAACCCCUUGAGAAUGAGAUUGAAGAACUGAUCCAGGGGACAAAAGAGGGGAAACUGAGAGUUCCCAAUUAAUAAUGAAGCAG
RNAcentral lists this long non-coding RNA (919 nucleotides) under Homo sapiens (human). Its description in RNAcentral is "non-protein coding lnc-HNRNPA1L2-2:5". Lineage: Eukaryota; Metazoa; Chordata; Mammalia; Primates; Hominidae. The record is from RNAcentral.